AUGGGGAGGGGAAGGAUUGAGAUCAAGAGGAUCGAGAACACCACUAGCCGGCAGGUGACCUUCUGCAAGCGCCGGAACGGGCUCCUCAAAAAGGCCUACGAGCUCUCCGUCCUGUGCGACGCCGAGGUGGCGCUCAUCGUCUUCUCCAGCCGCGGCCGCCUCUACGAGUACUCCAACAACAGUGUCAAGGCUACAAUUGACAGGUACAAGAAGGCACAUGCUUGUGGCUCAACCUCUGGGGUACCUCUCAUAGAAGUCAAUGCUCAGCAAUACUACCAGCAAGAAGCUGCAAAGCUGCGCCACCAGAUCCAGAUGCUGCAAAGCACUAACAAGCACUUGGUUGGUGAUUCUGUUGGGAACCUGUCACUCAAGGAGCUGAAGCAACUCGAAAGCCGGCUUGAGAAAGGCAUUGCGAAGAUCAGGGCCAGGAAGAAUGAGCUCCUAUCUUCUGAGAUCAACUACAUGGUCAAAAGGGAGAUAGAGCUUCAGAGUGACAGCAUUGAUCUCAGAACCAAGAUUGCGGAGGAGGAGCAGCGGUUGCAGCAGGUGACUAUCGCCAGGCCCUCGGUGGCGCCGGAGCUGAACCCUUUCACCGCACUGGACAUGAAGUGCUUCUUCCCUGCCAACCUCUUCGAGGCGGCGGUGCAUGCGCACGCGCAGGCACAGGCUCAGGCUCAGGCUCAGGCCUCGCUUCAGCUGAACCUAGGCUACCAGCAGCUUGCUCCACCGGGCGCCGGCGAUGUGGCUCAUCAGUUCUAG
RNAcentral lists this ribosomal RNA (759 nucleotides) under Triticum aestivum (bread wheat). RNAcentral describes it as "partial small subunit ribosomal RNA". Lineage: Eukaryota; Viridiplantae; Streptophyta; Magnoliopsida; Poales; Poaceae. The record is from RNAcentral.